This 228-nucleotide ribosomal RNA is filed under the name uncultured bacterium. Its description in RNAcentral is "partial 16S ribosomal RNA". It matches the Rfam family "Bacterial small subunit ribosomal RNA", at positions 15 to 225 of the family's 1533-position model. The record is from RNAcentral.
GAUCAUGGCUCAGGAUGAACGCUAGCGACAGGCUUAACACAUGCAAGUCGAACGGAGCACCCUUGAAUGAGGUUUCGGCCAAAGGAAAGGAAUGCUUAGUGGCGGACUGGUGAGUAACGCGUGAGGAACCUGCCUUUCAGAGGGGGACAACAGCUGGAAACGGCUGCUAAUACCGCAUGACGCAUUCGGAUGGCAUCAUCUGAAUGCCAAAGAUUUAUCGCUGAAAGA